Trichomycterus rosablanca is the source of this 529-nucleotide long non-coding RNA. RefSeq lists it as uncharacterized. Lineage: Eukaryota; Metazoa; Chordata; Actinopteri; Siluriformes; Trichomycteridae. The transcript is spliced from 2 exons. The record is from RefSeq and is a predicted model, not a curated record.
GCUCCCAUGCCGUGUGUUUGUAUCGUUGCUACUUGCUCUUGAUUUUGUGCUUCUAAAUGUGAACAGAUCAGCAUCUAUAGUUCAACAUAAAUGAACGAGGACAAAUAUAUUCGGUCUACAUUUAAAAUGGACAUAUUUAUUCACCAGACAAGCACAACUACAUGGAAUAAAUGAUGCUAACGUUUCACCUCAGAAGUGACAAGAAAGUAAAGCACCGGAAACAAGAAAUCUGACCGCUUUAAACAUCUGAAUUGAUCUACAGCCCUUCUGAGAGCAGCUACUUACAAACAGCAGUGAAAUCUGGAGAAGCAGAGGCAAAAUGAGAGCAAACCACACCGAGACGAGCUCAGCAAAGAUGCCAGGGAGCGUUAUUUGGAUAAAUGAUCAUCUGUUAACAGCAACGAUGAGCUAAGUUGGUUGCAAGCGGGUGGUGCUUGUGGCGGUAAAUGUUUAUGCUUUAAUGUAAUUGUUCAUGCUGCUUUUUGUCUGUAUCUAUUUACAAGUAAAAAUAAAGUACAAAUACAUUUUA